This 421-nucleotide ribosomal RNA is filed under the name uncultured Glomeromycotina. RNAcentral's name for it is "SSU rRNA". It matches the Rfam family "Eukaryotic small subunit ribosomal RNA", at positions 670 to 1092 of the family's 1831-position model. Lineage: Eukaryota; Fungi; Glomeromycota. The record is from RNAcentral.
GGUAUGUACUAGCUUGCUGAUUCCUCCUUCUUGUAGAACCGUAAUGCCAUUAAUUUGGUGUUGCGGGGAAACAGGACUGUUACUUUGAAAAAAUUAGAGUGUUUAAAGCAGGCUAGCGCCUGAAUACAUUAGCAUGGAAUAAUGAAAUAGGACGUUCGAACCUAUUUUGUUGGUUUCUAGGAUUGACGUAAUGAUUAAUAGGGAUAGUUGGGGGCAUUAGUAUUCAAUUGUCAGAGGUGAAAUUCUUGGAUUUAUUGAAGACUGACUACUGCGAAAACAUUUGCCAAGGAUGUUUUCAUUAAUCAAGAACGAAAGUUAGGGGAUCGAAGACGAUCAGAUACCGUCGUAGUCUUAACCAUAAACUAUGCCGACUAGGGAUCGGAUGAUGUUAAUUUUUUAAUGACUCAUUCGGCGCCUUACG